GACAGAGGUGGCUAGCGUUGUUCGGAUUCAUUGGGUGUAAAGGGUGCGUAGGCGGCCGAGAAAGUCAGAUGUGAAAGCCCACAGCUCAACUGUGGAAAUGCAUCUGAAACUUCUUGGCUAGAGUGCGAGAGAGGUGAAGGGAAUUCCCGGUGUAAGGGUGAAAUCUGCAGAGAUCGGGAGGAACACCAGUAGCGAAGGCGCUUCACUGGCUCGCAACUGACGCUGAGUGCACGAAGGCGUGGGGAGCAAACGGG
Molecule: ribosomal RNA, 254 nt
Filed under: uncultured bacterium
Lineage: Bacteria
Description: partial 16S ribosomal RNA
Rfam family: Bacterial small subunit ribosomal RNA
Source: RNAcentral